UACGGAGGGGGCUAGCGUUGUUCGGAAUUACUGGGCGUAAAGCGCACGUAGGCGGCUUUGUAAUGUUAGAGGUGAAAGCCCGGGGCUCAACUCCGGAAUUGCCUUUAAGACUGCAUCGCUAGAAUUGUGGAGAGGUAAGUGGAAUUCCGAGUGUAGAGGUGAAAUUCGUAGAUAUUCGGAAGAACACCAGUGGCGAAGGCGACUUACUGGACACAUAUUGACGCUGAGGUGCGAAAGCGUGGGGAGCAAACAGG
This 254-nucleotide ribosomal RNA is filed under the name uncultured bacterium. RNAcentral describes it as "partial 16S ribosomal RNA". It matches the Rfam family "Bacterial small subunit ribosomal RNA", at positions 524 to 776 of the family's 1533-position model. The record is from RNAcentral.